Molecule: transfer RNA, 65 nt
Filed under: Dipodomys ordii (Ord's kangaroo rat)
Lineage: Eukaryota; Metazoa; Chordata; Mammalia; Rodentia; Heteromyidae
Rfam family: tRNA
About the family: Transfer RNA (tRNA) molecules are approximately 80 nucleotides in length. Their secondary structure includes four short double-helical elements and three loops (D, anti-codon, and T loops). Further hydrogen bonds mediate the characteristic L-shaped molecular structure. tRNAs have two regions of fundamental functional importance: the anti-codon, which is responsible for specific mRNA codon recognition, and the 3' end, to which the tRNAs corresponding amino acid is attached (by aminoacyl-tRNA synthetases). tRNAs cope with the degeneracy of the genetic code in two manners: having more than one tRNA (with a specific anti-codon) for a particular amino acid; and 'wobble' base-pairing, i.e. permitting non-standard base-pairing at the 3rd anti-codon position.
Source: Rfam by way of RNAcentral
GGUGGCUCAGUGGUAGAGUGCUUGCCUUGCAUGCAUAAGGCCCUGGGUUCGAUUCCACAGCACCA